Molecule: long non-coding RNA, 5527 nt
Filed under: Olea europaea subsp. europaea
Lineage: Eukaryota; Viridiplantae; Streptophyta; Magnoliopsida; Lamiales; Oleaceae
Source: RNAcentral
CUUGUCAUUCAUAACUCCUAUUGGUUGUGUAUCUAAUUGCAAAUCUACUCACUUCGUAUAUAAAUCUCACUUGUUGAUCCUACUUUUGGAUGACUUAAUUUCACCUUUUUUGCUCCUCUCAUGGUCAUCAUAAUUAAGGUAAUCAUCUAUUAGCUCCCUUUUCUUCUCUUGUCAUCAUUAAAGCAAAUUGUAAGUUAAUUUUAACUAAGAAAAUCAAGUGUGCAUUUCUUAAAUUAAUCUAUCCUUAAAGAAGAAUGAAUGAAAUCUUAGUGGGCCUUUUUAAUGAUAUUGGAUUUGGGGAUUUCUUUCAAAAUGGAAGUAUAUUUUGUGUGCUAUGGAGUCAAAAGUUUAUGUUUACAUUGUAACAUAUGUACUUGAAUUUCCACAAAAAUAUUGUAAUAUAGUCGAGAACUUGCUUGGGAGAUUAUCUCCUUUUUUCUAAAGAAGCAAAGCAUGGUUUUUCUAAUCUUAUUAGAUAUGGAGCAUAGCGAUAAAGAAGUCUAUCAUUAGAUGAUGAAUCUUGAAAUUGAUAAUAAAAUAAUAUGGCAUAUAUGCAUGGUAUCCUCUUUAUCAUCUUUGAGAUGUUGGAUUAAACAUGAUUAAAUAAGAUUAUCGGAUAAAGGUAUAUAGGAUGUUGGUAAAUAUUUUCAUGUUAAUUGAAGUUCAUUAUCUAUCGUGAAAGAAAACAUUAUUAACUUCGUUACAAUUAAUUGAAUGAAGUGAGACAAUUAUAAAUUCUUGAUGGUAAAUUUAUUGGUCUAAUUCUUGACAUUGGCCCUAUUUUUUUAAAUUAUUUUUCGUUUGUCAAAAUCACUCAUUAAUUAAUCACAAGAAAAAACAAAAUCAUAACUUAGAGUUGCAUCCCACGAAUCUAACAAUACAAACUUUAAUUUUCUUUAUUCGUUCAUAACUUCCUUUUCUAAAAAAUAAAAAGAGAGAGAUACAUUGGACUGACUGAUGACACCAACCCCACUAAGUUCCGAAUUUUAUUAGGAAAUUUGACCAAGUUAAGCAUUUUCUAAGGUCCCUACUUCUGGAAACAUGGAAGUACAUUUUAGUGCCUUUAAAACAUGUACUUAAUACUGAAACAUGACUGUACGCACAUAUAAUGUAUAAGAAUUUAAUAUAUUUAUUAUAAUUAAAGAAAAAAAGUAGAUGAGACUUUUUUUUAGUUAUCUUAUUUAGAGGUUGUUUGAUAAAUUUUGAUUAAAAAAAAAUAACUAGUUUUGAUAAAAGUUGAUGAAAUGUGGUUGAAAAUUUGAUAAAAUUGUGAGUCUUACAAAAUGUACGAUUAAAUUAAUUAUUGACUUUAAUCUCAAAUUUUUAAUAACUUUUAAGUUAUUCGAAGCAAGCAUUUGAUAUUAUCCAAUAUAACAUUUAUUAGCACUAUUUAUGAACUGGCACAAUUGGUUCGACUUGAGUCUACAUGUCAUUUAGAGAGGGUUGAACCUUUCUUAAAAAGGAUUUUGCUAUUUGUACAUUGGGAUUUAAUGGCUCAAUGUACAGCUCUCUUACAAUAUGGGGUUCGUGCCCAAUAAAAAAAUUGCAAGCCCCCUAUUGUGAGGGGUUGUACAUCAGACUGUCAAACUUGGUUUACUUGAGGCGAAAUCCCUCAAAAAAAUUAUUGAUAUUGAAGUUCAGUUCUCUCUAUCUCUUCUUUUUGUCUCUGCACUUUUACUUGAUAGUAUCAAGAUGGUGUGCGAUACAUAGUUUUCCCACCUUAAAUGAUUACCUAAUGCAUUUAGAGGGACAGAAAAAAUUUAGAGUUGGACCGAAAAUGAAUUUUUAGAUUGGACUAAAUUUUCUAAUCUAAUUUAUGAACUGUCUAAACAGAAAAAGAAAAUUUGGACAAUGUUUAUGAACUAAUUUAUUUAUUUAUUUUUGGGUAGGGUGAGGGCUGUAGCUUGCUUUUGCAAGAGAGGCCCUAUAUGUACAGAAGGAAGGGAAGGGGUUACAAAAAAACUCUCCAGACAAGAUACACAAUAGAGGGGUGGCUUUUUUUUUCUUUUUUUUUUUUUAAUAUUCACGUGGGGCCCACUGUUGAGAAAAAUGUAGCGAAAUCUGGAAACUUAAUGAACUCCAAAACACGAAAAAACGUUAUUUUUUAAGAGAUGUUUCUCCCUUAUCCAACAAACUCACAAUUGGGGUAUGAUAGAAAAUCUCUCUCAGGAUACAAUGGAGACGUCAAAUUGUGACUAUUUGAUCAAAUCAAGAAGACAUUCGAAAAGAACUGAUUGAUGCCAAGAGAAAGAAAGAAGAAUAAUUUUUUUAAUGUGUUUUGCAAACGAGAAUUCGUCCAGAAUUUAUAGAAAAUGAGGCAACCGUUUGAAUAGGUGUGUCCCUUGAAAUCCUUGCGUACAUCUGUUGGAAGUGACUGUUAAAAAAUAACAGAUGCACCUAUUCAAAAACUUUUGAAAAUAAAAUUAUCUUUCGGGGGGCGUCGCCCCCGAGCCCCCACGGGGGGCGCUACCCCCUCGACCCCCGUGAUCUGAUCGGGCAGGUUGAUCCCCGUUGCGCAGCGACAAACACUAGUCCGGACGGCAAGUCAUUCGCAAAACAAAAAAUAAAUAUAUGUAAAAUGAUGAAAAAUAUCUAACACCCACCCCUUGCGAGACUUCUCUAAUAUUUCUGUGAAAAAUGGAUUUCCUCCUUUUGCAAUUAGAGUGUCCAUCCUAAUUGCGUUGUUGUGUAAAACAAAUCCAUCAUUUUCGGGGGGGAAAAAUCAUUUAUCUAAAUCGAUUUCUCAACUCUUUGCUAUAUACUAGAAACUCGAUAUAUUCUCAUAAUUUUUUUGCUUACUUCGAUUUGAGGCAGACAUGCUAAAUUUAACACAUAAUAAAAAGGGAAACUUUCAUAUCUUAAGAGAUCAAGUAAGAAACAUUUCAAAAAUAAAAAAUAACAUUUAAAACUUCAAAAAUCGGAUAGUAAUUAUAUUCUAUUUUAUGAAAUAAUUAAUUAAAUAUAUUAAGGUCAAAAUUCUAUAAUAUUUUGGUCACAAAUUAUCAAAUUAAUUGGUCUUAAUUAUUUCUCGGUCAUGAAUCAAAAAAUUUAUAGAUUACAAUUUGUUCAUCAAGCACAAAUCACAAAUUUCAUAAGUCGCAAUUCAAAUUUUUAAGUCACAUAUUAUUUAUUGGUCAUAAUUUAUCGAUCACAUAUUAUUUAUUGGUCACAAAAUGUCCAAAUCCAAAAUUACCGAUCACCGUCUCAACCACCACCUCACCACACACAAAACUUCAACUAAGCAAGUCAGAGGAAAAAAGCCAACCCAAAACCAUCGCCGCUGCAUACUACCUCCAGCCACCGCACCACCACCACUGGCAUCAUCAUCGCACACACCACCGCACUACCAUAAAUUUUCACUCUUUUGUGUCAAACAAAGAUGUGCAACCGCCAUGAAGACGUGGCGAGUAACAGAUUUGUCGUCACCGUCUUCUUAACAGCUAUGCAGUGGUGAUGUCUGCUUCGAAGUGACAAUGCUGCAGACGUUGGUUGCUUCAAAGCGAUGCCAUUGUGGUGGUGACGUUUUGAGCAUCGCGCCGUGGCAUCUCCAAUGGUAAGGAGAGAAAAGAUAAUGGAGGGAUAUAGAGAGACGAAGGAAAUGAUAGAUAGAGAAAAGAUAGAAGAAAAUGCGUGGUAAUUAGGUUGGUUGGUUAGACAUAUGUGUAUUAAUUUAAUUUUAUAAUAUAUUUACUAAUAUUAAAAUUUUGAAUUAUUAUAAGAUUUUUUAAUAAAAAAAUAUUAAAUUUUAUUUUUGAAUUGUGAAGUUGAAAUAUCUGGGCAGAUGUAAUUUCCACAAACUCUAUUCGUGUUCCAUUAUUUGGAAAAAUCAGGUUUUCUGUAAAAAGUUUAUUUAUAAUCAAUUAAUAAACACUCCCCACUAACAGAUAAACAUGAAGAAAAAAUACAACAAACAUGGUUGUAAAAUAGAUAUAAAUUUUUCACCAAUUAAACCAUUAAUUCGUAAUUAAAUUUUUCGUAGUUGGUAGAUGAAAUCUAACACCUAAAUUAUGUUACAUUUGUAUUUGGUAGAUGAAAUCUACAACUUAAUUUAUUUAUUUAUUUAUUUUUUAUGAUACUUGUGACAUUCAAUUAUUUAGAUGAUUUGUGUGAAGCCUUACGAUGACAUUUCAUAUUCCUUUUUAAAUUGCUACGACACUGACUUUUAAUAUCCCCUUAUAUGUGACAUAUAAUGCGCUGUUUUUAAUACAAACAUGUCUAAUCUAAAUUGGCCGUAGUUUCAAUUUUAUGAUUAUGGUUUCACGUAAACUACGGUUUAAAGAGCCCGUCUGAGUUCUAUUUUUUCCCCAAAAUGGGUUUUAAAAUAGUAUUUUAAUUGAAAAUGUGUGGUUAAAAAAUAACAAAAAGUUCUGGAUUUACGUAAAAUAUUAUUUUGUUGAAAAAUGUAAAGUUAAAAAUAAGAGAGAGAAAAUAUAACUUAAAAAUAAUAUGACCAAACAAGGUCUAGAUGAUGACUUCAUAUGUAAAAAUUAAGGUUUACAUAGAUGAGAUAUUGUUUUCCUUUUUAGGAUUUUCUAUUUCUCCAAAUUAAGCUCUUCACGUCUUAAUGUUUGUUGUGUCGACUUGAUCAUUCAUAAAUGAAGACAGAAUAAAACAUCCACAAUAAUGCUAAUAUUUUGUCCGAGAAAUUCCUGAUAUUACCGAAAAUAUAGCAAGAAAUACACUAGAUGAAAUUAGUCUUUUGGGUUGGAUUUUAAUUGCUGGAUUUGGAUUUGAAUGAAAUUGAGUUGGAUUUGUGUUUGGAUGAAUAUUUGGGUUACGUCCCUAAGAAUGGAAAACAAAAAUAAGAAUUAAAUUUAUCUAGUUGGAUAAGUUCAUAUAUCUUUUGAAUUAGAUGCAAAUUAAGAAUUAAUUUAAAUAUGGCAUAAUAUUCUUAAAUUUUUAGUCCCAAGUUUUAUGGUUGGGCAAAAAACAUAGAAAAAUCAAUCAAAUCAAUCAAACCGAACUAAUUGGGGUCAAUUCGGGUCGGUUUGACACAAGUAAUUGAUUUGGUUUGGUUGCCUCGAACUAUUGAUUAAUUAAACAAAUCCAACCUACUUACAUAUUUACAUUUUUUUAAGAAAAAUAAAAAUCACUACUAUAUUAAAAGAGCCAAUAUGUCAUUUACUAUUCAUUUUUGAAAUAUUUUCAUUCCCAUUUUGUUCUCAAAUAAUUAACAAAAUCUCUACUCUUUUUCAAUAUGCCAUUUACUAUUCAUUUUUGAAAUAUUUUCAUUUCCCAUUUUGUCCUCAAACAACCAACAAAAUCUUUACUCUUUUGAUCAAUCACUACUCUCACUACUAUCUUCAAAUAGCGAACCAGCUGGUUAUUGUUCAUUCAGGACAUAUUUAGGGGUUUUCCACUUUACCCUCAACUCCCUCGCACAAUAACUCUCACACUAAAGGUCUAAUGGCCUUUUUGUAUGUAGAUAAAAUAACAAAAAGUAAAAAAUAGUGUGUUACCUAAAGGAUUUGAUUCCACUUUUUGCCUGAUUUGAAUUUUUACGUCUAAAAAAAAAGGUUGAUUUCAU